AUGUAAAAUGUCGUAACAAGGUCUCUGUAGGUGAACCUGCGGAGGGAUCAUUACCGAGCGAGGGCCGCCGC
RNAcentral lists this ribosomal RNA (71 nucleotides) under Pseudocercospora ulei. Its description in RNAcentral is "partial 18S ribosomal RNA". The stretch from base 1 to 53 matches the Rfam family "Eukaryotic small subunit ribosomal RNA", at positions 1780 to 1831 of the family's 1831-position model. Lineage: Eukaryota; Fungi; Ascomycota; Dothideomycetes; Mycosphaerellales; Mycosphaerellaceae. The record is from RNAcentral.